This 1350-nucleotide ribosomal RNA is filed under the name uncultured prokaryote. Its description in RNAcentral is "partial 16S ribosomal RNA". It matches the Rfam family "Bacterial small subunit ribosomal RNA", at positions 88 to 1423 of the family's 1533-position model. The record is from RNAcentral.
CUCGAGAGUGGCGGACGGGUGAGUAACACGUAGGUGAUCUGCCUCUGGAUGGGGGAUAGCCCAUGGAAACAUGGGGUAAUACCGCAUGAGGCCUGUACUGAUAAGCAGGUACGGGUGAAAGGCGCUAUUGUGCUGUCUGGAGAUGAGCCUGCGGUCCAUUAGUUAGUUGGCAGGGUAAGAGCCUACCAAGGCGACGAUGGGUAGCCGGCCUGAGAGGGUGAACGGCCACACUGGGACUGAGACACGGCCCAGACUCCUACGGGAGGCAGCAGCUAAGAAUCUUCCGCAAUGGGGGAAACCCUGACGGAGCGACGCCGCGUGGACGAUGAAGGCCUAGAGGUUGUAAAGUCCUUUUGCAGAUGAAGAAUAAGGCGAGGAGUGGAACGUCUUGCUGAUGACGUUAGUCUGCGAAUAAGCCCCGGCCAAUUACGUGCCAUCAGCCGCGGUAACACGUAAGGAGCGAGCGUUGUUCGGAAUUAUUGGGCGUAAAGGGCUUGUAGGCGGUUAUAUAAGUCUGGUGUUAAAGGCCUUGGCUCAACCGAGGUUUGGCGCUGGAAACUGUAAGACUAGAAUCUAGGAGGGGAAGCUGGAAUUCCUGGUGUAGGGGUGAAAUCUGUAGAUAUCUGGAAGAACACCGGUGGCGAAGGCGAGCUUCUAGCCAUGGACUGACGCUGAGGCGCGAAAGCGUGGGGAGCGAACAGGAUUAGAUACCCUGGUAGUCCACGCUGUAAACGAUGUGCACUAGGCGUUGGGUGUGUAAGACAUUCAGUGCCGUAGCUAACGCGGUAAGUGCACCGCCUGGGGAGUAUGCCCGCAAGGGUGAAACUCAAAGGAAUUGACGGGGGCCCGCACAAGCGGUGGAGCAUGUGGUUUAAUUCGACGAUACGCGAGAAACCUUACCAGUUUUUUGACAUAUUUAUGACCGCUUCAGAGAUGGAGUUUUCCCUUCGGGGACAUUUAUACAGGUGCUGCAUGGUUGUCGUCAGCUCGUGCCGUGAGGUGUUGGGUUAAGUCCCGCAACGAGCGCAACCCCUAUUGUCUGUUACCAUCAUUAAGUUGGGGGACUCAGGCAAGACUGCCGGUGACAAACCGGAGGAAGGUGGGGACGACGUCAAAUCAUCAUGGCCCUUAUAUCCUGGGCUACACACGUGCUACAAUGGCCAGUACAGAGUGACGCGAAGCAGCGAUGUGGAGCAAAACGCAGAAAGCUGGUCUCAGUUCGGAUUGGAGUCUGAAACUCGACUCCAUGAAGGUGGAAUCGCUAGUAAUCGCGCAUCAGCAUGGCGCGGUGAAUACGUUCCCGGGCCUUGUACACACCGCCCGUCACACCACCCGAGUUGGGGGUACCCG